CCCCCUUGAAGGAGCCACAUGGAAACCCUUUUAACCUCUACUCUCUUUUUAAAAAGCAGGUGGAAAAUUCCGGGUAAAAGGAAGGGCUUUCCGUUCCAGUUAGGUGGAAGGAAAGGCUCCCACAGCAAAGGCCCCUAGUUUGUUGGGAGAGUUUUCCCCCCCUGGGAAUUGGACCCGGUCCAGAUCUCUGCGGGAGCCACCAGGGGGAAUUUGCCCAAAUGGGGGAACCCCUGAUCCACCACCCCCGCGUGGAGGAUGACGCAUUUCGGGUGUUAAACUCCUUUUAAUAUCCCAAGAUAAUGCCGGUAGGAUAUGAAUAACACCGGCUAAUUCCGUGCCAGCAGCCGCGGUAAUACGGAGGGUGCAAGCGUUAUUCGGAAUCACUGGGCGUAAAGGAUGCGUAGGCGGAUGAUCAAGUUGAAAGUGAAAUCCUAUGGCUUAACCAUAGAACUGCUUUCAAAACUGGUUAUCUAGAAUAUGGAAGAGGCAGAUGGAAUUAGUGGUGUAGGGGUAAAAUCCGUAGAGAUCACUAGGAAUACCGAUUGCGAAGGCGAUCUGCUGGGACAUUAUUGACGCUGAGGCAUGAAAGCGUGGGGAGCAAACAGGAUUAGAUACCCUGGUAGUCCACGCCCUAAACGAUGUACACUAGUUGUUGCUAUGCUCGUCAUAGCAGUAAUACAGUUAACACAUUAAGUGUACCGCCUGGGGAGUACGGUCGCAAGAUUAAAACUCAAAGGAAUAGACGGGGACCCGCACAAGCGGUGGAGCAUGUGGUUUAAUUCGAAGAUACGCGAAGAACCUUACCUGGACUUGAUAUCCUUAGAAUCACUUAGAGAUAAGUGAGUGCUAGUUUACUAGAACUAAGUGACAGGUGCUGCACGGCUGUCGUCAGCUCGUGUCGUGAGAUGUUGGGUUAAGUCCCGCAACGAGCGCAACCCUCGUGAUUAGUUGCUAACAGUUCGGCUGAGCACUCUAAUCAGACUGCCUUCGUAAGGAGGAGGAAGGUGAGGACGACGUCAAGUCAUCAUGGCCCUUAUGUCCAGGGCUACACACGUGCUACAAUGGUUGGGACAAAGAGCAGCGAUACCGCGAGGUGGAGCAAAUCUUAAAACCCAAUCUCAGUUCGGAUAGGAGUCUGCAACUCGACUCCUUGAAGCUGGAAUCGCUAGUAAUCGUAGAUCAGCAAUGCUACGGUGAAUACGUUCCCGGGUCUUGUACUCACCGCCCGUCACACCAUGGGAGUUGAUUUCGCUCGAAGCCGGAAUACUAAAUUAGUUACCGUCCACAGCGGAAUUAGCGACUGGGGUGAAGUCGUAACAAGGUACC
RNAcentral lists this ribosomal RNA (1326 nucleotides) under uncultured Campylobacterales bacterium. RNAcentral describes it as "bacterial SSU rRNA". It matches the Rfam family "Bacterial small subunit ribosomal RNA", at positions 129 to 1500 of the family's 1533-position model. Lineage: Bacteria; Pseudomonadati; Campylobacterota; Epsilonproteobacteria; Campylobacterales. The record is from RNAcentral.